Long non-coding RNA from Hyaena hyaena (striped hyena), 440 nucleotides. RefSeq lists it as uncharacterized. Lineage: Eukaryota; Metazoa; Chordata; Mammalia; Carnivora; Hyaenidae. The record is from RefSeq and is a predicted model, not a curated record. The transcript is spliced from 3 exons.
AGGGACCUGGCGGGGGGCCAGGUUAGCCGACCCGCAGGGCCGUUAAGGAUACUUAUUAGGAAGGACAUCGGGUACAGCACCAUGUUGGUGGGGAGAACCAGACAAGAGGAAGCCACAGAUGGAUCAUGGAGAGCGACAGGAAGAAAAUAAGGUGGCUACCUGCAGUUGGUGACAGUGCUUUGCUGCCGCGGAAGGCUCCGGACCAUGUCGCUGGCUCAGUAAUCCAUUGCUCGACUUCAUUAACCACAGGAAGACAUUAAGUGAAUGUAAGGACCAGAAGAGCCUGGAAACCACGUGAUGAGCAGCCUUUACGUUCUGGGCUCUGGUAUAUUUUAUGGCACCUCGACUGUGUAUCAAGCUCUCCUUCCUGGACUCAUUAGAACUGUGUGCCCAAAGGUAGCCCUCAACUCUCAGAAGCAAAUAGAGAAUGAUAUAAUUCA